GAUGAACGCUGGCGGCGUGCUUAACACAUGCAAGUCGAACGGAAAGGCUCCUGCUUGCAGGGGUACUCGAGUGGCGAACGGGUGAGUAACACGUGGGUGAUCUGCCCUGCACUUCGGGAUAAGCCUGGGAAACUGGGUCUAAUACCGGAUAGGACCACAUUUUGGAUGGUGUGGUGGAAAGUUUUUCGGUGUGGGAUGAGCUCGCGGCCUAUCAGCUUGUUGGUGGGGUAAUGGCCUACCGAGGCGUCGACGGGUAGCCGGCCUGAGAGGGUGUACGGCCACAUUGGGACUGAGAUACGGCCCAGACUCCUACGGGAGGCAGCAGUGGGGAAUAUUGCACAAUGGGCGCAAGCCUGAGGGAGCGACGCCGCGUGGGGGAUGACGGCCUUCGUGUUGUAAACUCCUUUCGCUAGGGACGAAGCGUUUUUGUGACGGUACCUGGAGAAGAAGCACCGGCUAACUACGUG
RNAcentral lists this ribosomal RNA (467 nucleotides) under uncultured bacterium. RNAcentral describes it as "partial 16S ribosomal RNA". It matches the Rfam family "Bacterial small subunit ribosomal RNA", at positions 28 to 507 of the family's 1533-position model. The record is from RNAcentral.